AUAAAAAAGGGAAAAGCUAAAAAAGAGACAUUUAUUUACUGAGGUGUAAAACAGGUAUUGUAAUCAUAUUUAUACAAGAUAAGCCAGGCUUAAUUAUAUAUCGUAAUUUUGUACUUUAAGUAUGUAUCUGAGUUUUCUACUUUUUUUUCUUUAAUUUUUUUUUCUUUAAAAGCAUGGCAGAUUUGAAUUCCAACAGAAUCUUGUUUUUAGGAAUAUGUUCAAUCAUUUUAAAAAAUACUGAUUUUUUUUUUUUGUAAAUAAUAGUUGAUAAGGUAUGUUUGUUAUCAUAUAGAUGUGGCAAAUAGAUUUUGCCUUUUGGCAAUUAGUCACAUUUAACAGGUAGCUUUAGAGAAACAACAUGUACAUAAGAACAGAUCAUUUUAUUAAAUGUUUCCUUUUUUCUCCAAAUUUUGCAGAUUUUCAAAACACAAAUUUCAGCUUUAUUGUAUUGAACGUCAAUGGAGAGACAUUGGUGCUAAAGUUAUUGACUUGUUAAGUUUUGCAGUUGCCAUGUAUAUGUAUUUCAAAACAUUCCUAUUGGUGUAUUGUUGCUCAGACUUUUACAUACGCAGUAAGCUUUUAGUAUUACGCAUGUUCUGUUAAUAGAAUGAUAGUGUGUCAUAUGUGAUGUGUUUUCAUCAAGGUUGAUGAUUGCAUAACUGGUAUAGCUGGAUUACUGUACAAAAAUAUUUGCCAAAUGCUUUUGACCAUUGUAUUCUGUGAUGUAAAAAUUUCCAUACAUUAUUCAUUGCACAAAUUCUCACAGUAGAUUACCAAACUUAUUUUUUGUUUCAUUCCUGAAUUCUAGCAAAUUUUAACAUGAUUUACAAUAACAGUUGAAAAUAAAGCACGAGCCUUUGUAUACGAUUUAAGGUUCAUCGAUACUCUGAUAAGAGAGAUAACUCUUAAUGAAAUUUAUGGCUUUAAUUCCUUCAUAAAUUUGUCAAGUUGAAAUAUCCAUUUUGUCCAAUUUUGCUAUGCACACUAUGCUGUGUAUUUUGCUUAAAAAAGACUUCUUUUAGAAAAAAAAAAUAAGCGUUAAAUCAACAUUUUAUAUCAGUGAGCAGAGGGUUUAUGAACCUUAAGCAAUAUAUCCACCUAAUACUUGUACAAGUCUGUAGUUAUCAUAAGGAAGCCACAUGUGUAAAUUUUCAUGUUUUCAAUGACUGAUUUCCAUUUGUGAGACUUGUUUUAUGUUUACCAAAUCUCUGUAUAUCUCAGUAUUUUACAUUAUCCCAUACAUACCGGUAAUUUCAAGGGACACAAUUUAUGUUUUGCACAACUGACGUUUAAUGUAUUACGAAGUUUUAUUUUUCAAUCCUACAAAUUUCAAAGUCGUGAAAAGUCAAAAGUUUGUUUUGUUUUUUGGGAAAUAUUUAUUCAUUUUACAGAUUUUUUAUUCACAUAUAUUAUUAUGGUCCACAAAUUUAAUACAGUUGAUGUUUCAUGUAAGUAAUAUAACUUCACCAAGAAGUGUAUGGAUCCUUCAUACAAAGAAAAAAGAGUUCUUUUUUCAGAAGUAUUUAAACUCAAACUGACUGGAGCAGUAUUAGAAAUAUUACAAGUUUAUACUUCAGGAUACAAAAAUGUUUCCAUCCUAUGAAAGCGCAUUCCAUGUCGAACAUUUUACUUAAUUUCCGUGUUCUAUAUAUUUGUUGAUGUUCAUGCUUCAAUGUAUCAUACUGUUAUUUUAUGAACAUUUUAUUAGUAUAAUUUGUUGCACAGAAAUAUAUAUAAUAUAUAAAUAUAUAUGUGUGUAUGUCUAUUUGAUUAUUUUUCUCUUUAAUCAGUGACAAUGAAAUCCAUGAUGUUGUAUUAUUACGAGACACAUUGUUCCCAAGUGGGGAGAAUGUCUUACAUAUGUUUGUAUACUUAUAAUCAUGUCAAAGUUUUCAUAUAGGACAGUCCUCAUUGUUCAUGCCUGUAGAGUAUUGUGAUUUAUAAAGAAUGAGGGCAAAUGUCCACUUAGUUUGGGCUGACCUUCUCUAUGAAUCUGUGGUCAGUGUCACAGUCAACAAUUUUCAUCUGGUCAGCCAUAUUUUUUUCUUUUUACUAUCAACUUGUAAUGAAUUUUCUUUACCUUGUUUUUUUUAUUUUACAAUAUAACAUACCUGUAAUAAACUUAUCAACACUGAGUAUUUUUCUUACUUACACUUAGUAUUAAUGAUGUUAAAAGUUAUUAUUGUUUUCUGGUCAUUAUGACUUAAUUUAGUGGGACAGUAUUUUGAAUCUAUAUAAUAUUUAUUUAAUUAUGCUUAAAUAUGGCAUACAUUUUUUUUCUUCAAACAUACUAUAUAUAUUUUUCAUCUUCUAUAUUGUAUACUAGAUCAAAAUUGUGGGAAACUAACUGGUUUACUUAUAAUUAAAAAUGUUUGCUUUAAUUAAGUUAUAUUUUACUUCACAGUUUGUAGAAAUAUUAUUUAUCAAUUUCAUAAUUCUAACAAAUGGAAUAUUUCAUUGUUCUUUAAAUACAGAAUUGUUGCCUGUGUGCAAUGCUAUAUCCAAUUCUUUAAGGCUGGUUGUCAUUCAUUUCAGACUCUGUUUUCAUAUAUGGUACAUGUAUAAUAUAAACUGGUGGUGUAUGAAUAGAAGUAACGGCUGGUCACCAGCUAAGUGUGCCUUAAUAAACCAAACAAACCUUA
Long non-coding RNA from Saccostrea cuccullata (small rock oyster), 2642 nucleotides. RefSeq lists it as uncharacterized. Lineage: Eukaryota; Metazoa; Mollusca; Bivalvia; Ostreida; Ostreidae. The transcript has 2 exons. The record is from RefSeq and is a predicted model, not a curated record.